Molecule: transfer RNA, 70 nt
Filed under: Phrynoderma hexadactylum (Indian five-fingered frog)
Lineage: Eukaryota; Metazoa; Chordata; Amphibia; Anura; Dicroglossidae
Description: tRNA-Met 1
Rfam family: tRNA
About the family: Transfer RNA (tRNA) molecules are approximately 80 nucleotides in length. Their secondary structure includes four short double-helical elements and three loops (D, anti-codon, and T loops). Further hydrogen bonds mediate the characteristic L-shaped molecular structure. tRNAs have two regions of fundamental functional importance: the anti-codon, which is responsible for specific mRNA codon recognition, and the 3' end, to which the tRNAs corresponding amino acid is attached (by aminoacyl-tRNA synthetases). tRNAs cope with the degeneracy of the genetic code in two manners: having more than one tRNA (with a specific anti-codon) for a particular amino acid; and 'wobble' base-pairing, i.e. permitting non-standard base-pairing at the 3rd anti-codon position.
Source: RNAcentral
AAUAAGGUAAGCUAAUCAAGCUCUUGGGCUCAUGCCCCAAAAAUGUCGGUUAAAACCCCACCCUUAUUAC